Molecule: ribosomal RNA, 254 nt
Filed under: uncultured bacterium
Lineage: Bacteria
Description: partial 16S ribosomal RNA
Rfam family: Bacterial small subunit ribosomal RNA
Source: RNAcentral
UACGGGGGGAGCAAGCGUUGUUCGGAUUUACUGGGCGUAAAGGGCGCGUAGGCGGUCGUGACAAGUCACUUGUGAAAUCUCCGGGCUUAACUCGGAACGGUCAAGUGAUACUGUCGGACUAGAGUACAGAAGGGGCAACUGGAAUUCUCGGUGUAGCGGUGAAAUGCGUAGAUAUCUGGAGGAACACCGGUGGCGAAGGCGACAUCCUGGACCGGUAUUGACGCUGAGGCGCGAAAGCCAGGGGAGCAAACGGG